This 478-nucleotide ribosomal RNA is filed under the name uncultured bacterium. RNAcentral's name for it is "bacterial SSU rRNA". It matches the Rfam family "Bacterial small subunit ribosomal RNA", at positions 30 to 506 of the family's 1533-position model. The record is from RNAcentral.
UUGAACGCUGGCGGCAUGCCUUACACAUGCAAGUCGAACGGUAGAGGAGCAAUCCUCGAGAGUGGCGAACGGGUGAGUAAUGUAUCGGAACGUGCCCAGUAGUGGGGGAUAGCCCGGCGAAAGCCGGAUUAAUACCGCAUGAGACCUGAGGGUGAAAGCGGGGGACUCGCAAGAGCCUCGCGCUACUGGAGCGGCCGAUAUCAGAUUAGCUAGUUGGUGGGGUAAAGGCCCACCAAGGCGACGAUCUGUAGCUGGUCUGAGAGGACGACCAGCCACACUGGAACUGAGACACGGUCCAGACUCCUACGGGAGGCAGCAGUGGGGAAUUUUGGACAAUGGGCGCAAGCCUGAUCCAGCAAUGCCGCGUGCAGGAUGAAGGCCUUCGGGUUGUAAACUGCUUUUGUACGGAACGAAACGGCGAGCUCUAAUAAAGUUUGCUAAUGACGGUACCGUAAGAAUAAGCACCGGCUAACUACGU